Molecule: transfer RNA, 76 nt
Filed under: Weizmannia acidilactici
Lineage: Bacteria; Bacillati; Bacillota; Bacilli; Caryophanales; Bacillaceae
Description: tRNA-Thr
Rfam family: tRNA
About the family: Transfer RNA (tRNA) molecules are approximately 80 nucleotides in length. Their secondary structure includes four short double-helical elements and three loops (D, anti-codon, and T loops). Further hydrogen bonds mediate the characteristic L-shaped molecular structure. tRNAs have two regions of fundamental functional importance: the anti-codon, which is responsible for specific mRNA codon recognition, and the 3' end, to which the tRNAs corresponding amino acid is attached (by aminoacyl-tRNA synthetases). tRNAs cope with the degeneracy of the genetic code in two manners: having more than one tRNA (with a specific anti-codon) for a particular amino acid; and 'wobble' base-pairing, i.e. permitting non-standard base-pairing at the 3rd anti-codon position.
Source: RNAcentral
GCUUCCAUAGCUCAGCAGGUAGAGCACUUCCAUGGUAAGGAAGAGGUCAUCGGUUCGAGCCCGAUUGGAAGCUCCA